Chelonoidis abingdonii (Abingdon island giant tortoise) is the source of this 127-nucleotide non-coding RNA. NCBI's taxonomy places the organism in Eukaryota, Metazoa, Chordata, Testudines, Testudinidae. The record is from RefSeq and is a predicted model, not a curated record.
CAGCAUCUUAGAUGCUUUUAUUAUGCAAGAUGCAUGGGUAAUAAGCAGGCAGAACUUGAAGUGCUAAUAAAUAAAUACAACUAUGACAUUGUUGGCAUCACUGAAACUUGGUGGGAUAAUACACGAU